This 819-nucleotide ribosomal RNA is filed under the name uncultured bacterium. RNAcentral's name for it is "bacterial SSU rRNA". It matches the Rfam family "Bacterial small subunit ribosomal RNA", at positions 55 to 840 of the family's 1533-position model. The record is from RNAcentral.
AUGCCAGUUCGAACGCGAAAAGUUUCCUUUCGGGGAACAAGGUAGAGUGGCGCACGGNCUGUAGUUAACACGAUAGGCUAAUCUACCCUUUGGAUGGGGAAUAACAAUCGGAAACGAUUGCUAAUACCGCAUAAUGCAGCGGCACCUAAUGGUGACAGUUGUUAAAGCGGGGGAUCGAAAGACCUCGCGUCUGAAGAGGAGCCUGCGGCGGAUUAGCUAGUUGGUAAGGUAAUGGCUUACCAAGGCUACGAUCCGUAACCGGCCUGAGAGGGCGGUCGGUCACACUGACACUGACAUACGGGUCAGACUCCUACGGGAGGCAGCAGUCGGGAAUUUUGGGCAAUGGGCGAAAGCCUGACCCAGCAACGCCGCGUGAAGGAUGAAAUCCCUCGGGAUGUAAACUUCGCAAGAACGGGAAGAAUAAGUAGGGGACAAUACCCCCUAUGAUGACGGUACCGUUUGUAAGCUCCGGCUAACUCCGUGCCAGCAGCCGCGGUAAUACGGGGGGAGCAAGCGUUGUUCGGAUUUACUGGGCGUAAAGGGCGCGUAGGCGGCCAGCACAAGUCAGUUGUGAAAUCUCCGAGCUUAACUCGGAAAGGUCAACUGAUACUGUGCGGCUAGAGUGCGGAAGGGGCAACUGGAAUUCUUGGUGUAGCGGUGAAAUGCGUAGAUAUCAAGAGGAACACCUGCGGCGAAGGCGGGUUGCUGGGCCGACACUGACGCUGAGGCGCGAAAGCCAGGGGAGCGAACGGGAUUAGAUACCCCGGUAGUCNUGGCCUUAAACGAUGAAUGCUUUGGUGUCUGGGGUUAUAAAGUCCC